GAUGAAGAACGUAGCGAAAUGCGAUAAGUAGUGUGAAUUGCAGAAUUCAGUGAAUCAUCGAAUCUUUGAACGCACAUUGCGCCCUUUGGUCUUCCAUGGGGCAUGCCUGUUCGAGCGUCAUUCAAACCUUCAAGCCCCGCUUGGUGUUGGGUGUUUGUCUCGCCUUUGCGUGUAGACUCGCCUUAAAAUAAUUGGCAGCCGGCGUAUUGAUUUCGGAGCGCAGUACAUCUCGCGCUUUGCACUCAUAACGACAGCGUCCAAAAGUACAUUUUACACUCUUGACCUCGGAUCAGGUAGGGAUACCCGCUGAACUUAAGCAUAUCAAUAAGCGGAGGA
Molecule: unclassified non-coding RNA, 336 nt
Filed under: soil metagenome
Description: partial contains 5.8S ribosomal RNA, internal transcribed spacer 2, and large subunit ribosomal RNA
Rfam family: 5.8S ribosomal RNA (bases 1-120)
Source: RNAcentral